RNAcentral lists this ribosomal RNA (468 nucleotides) under uncultured bacterium. Its description in RNAcentral is "partial 16S ribosomal RNA". It matches the Rfam family "Bacterial small subunit ribosomal RNA", at positions 28 to 507 of the family's 1533-position model. The record is from RNAcentral.
GACGAACGCUGGCGGCGUGCUUAACACAUGCAAGUCGAACGGAAAGGCCCUGCUUUUGUGGGGUGCUCGAGUGGCGAACGGGUGAGUAACACGUGAGUAACCUGCCCUUGACUUUGGGAUAACUUCAGGAAACUGGGGCUAAUACCGGAUAGGAGCUCCUGCUGCAUGGUGGGGGUUGGAAAGUUUCGGCGGUUGGGGAUGGACUCGCGGCUUAUCAGCUUGUUGGUGGGGUAGGUGCUUACCAAGGGUUUGACGGGUAGCCGGCCUGAGAGGGUGAACGGGCACCAUGGGACUGAGGUACGGCCCAGGAUUCUAACGGAGGCAACCGGGGGGAAUAUUGCAGAAUGGGGGGAAGGCAGGUGGAACAACCGCCGGUGCGGGAAGACGGGCUUUGGGUUGGAAACCGCUUUCGCCUUUAACGGAGCCAUAGUGACGGUAAUGGGUAAAGAAGCACCGGCUAACUACGUG